Molecule: ribosomal RNA, 253 nt
Filed under: uncultured bacterium
Lineage: Bacteria
Description: partial 16S ribosomal RNA
Rfam family: Bacterial small subunit ribosomal RNA
Source: RNAcentral
UACGUAGGGUGCAAGCGUUAAUCGGAAUUACUGGGCGUAAAGCGUGCGCAGGCGGUUAUGUAAGACAGUUGUGAAAUCCCCGGGCUCAACCUGGGAACUGCAUCUGUGACUGCAUAGCUAGAGUACGGUAGAGGGAAGUGGAAUUUCAGGUGUAGCGGUGAAAUGCGUAGAUAUCUGAAGGAACAUCAGUGGCGAAAGCGACUUCCUGGACCAAUACUGACGCUCAUGUGCGAAAGCGUGGGGAGCAAACAGG